UAAAAAAUUAGUUAAACUUAUAACAUUAGUAUGUCAAACUGAAAUUAUUUUAUUAAAAAUAUUUUUUA
This 68-nucleotide transfer RNA is filed under the name Brillia brevicornis. RNAcentral describes it as "tRNA-Asp". Lineage: Eukaryota; Metazoa; Arthropoda; Insecta; Diptera; Chironomidae. The record is from RNAcentral.